Molecule: ribosomal RNA, 473 nt
Filed under: Lautropia mirabilis
Lineage: Bacteria; Pseudomonadati; Pseudomonadota; Betaproteobacteria; Burkholderiales; Burkholderiaceae
Description: bacterial SSU rRNA
Rfam family: Bacterial small subunit ribosomal RNA
Source: RNAcentral
AUUGAACGCUGGCGGCAUGCUUUACACAUGCAAGUCGAACGGCAGCGCGGGCUUCGGCCUGGCGGCGAGUGGCGAACGGGUGAGUAAUACAUCGGAACGUGCCCAGUAGUGGGGGAUAGCUCGGCGAAAGCCGGAUUAAUACCGCAUACGACCUGAGGGUGAAAGCGGGGGAUCUUCGGACCUCGCGCUAUUGGAGCGGCCGAUGGCAGAUUAGCUAGUUGGUGGGGUAAAGGCCUACCAAGGCGACGAUCUGUAGCUGGUCUGAGAGGACGACCAGCCACACUGGGACUGAGACACGGCCCAGACUCCUACGGGAGGCAACAGUGGGGAAUUUUGGACAAUGGGCGAAAGCCUGAUCCAGCAAUGCCGCGUGUGUGAUGAAGGCCUUCGGGUUGUAAAGCACUUUUGGCGGGAACGAAAGGGACUGUGCCAAUACCACGGUUCGAUGACGGACCCGCAGAAUAAGCACCGCA